UACAGAGGGUGCGAGCGUUAAUCGGAAUUACUGGGCGUAAAGGGCGCGUAGGUGGUUAAUUAAGUCAGAUGUGAAAACCCUGGGCUCAACCUAGGACUUGCAUUUGAAACUGAUUGACUAGAGUUUGGGAGAGGGAAGUGGAAUUUCCGGUGUAGCGGUGAAAUGCGUAGAUAUCGGAAGGAACAUCAGUGGCGAAGGCGACUUCCUGGCCCGAUACUGACACUGAGGCGCGAAAGCGUGGGGAGCGAACAGG
RNAcentral lists this ribosomal RNA (253 nucleotides) under uncultured bacterium. Its description in RNAcentral is "partial 16S ribosomal RNA". It matches the Rfam family "Bacterial small subunit ribosomal RNA", at positions 524 to 776 of the family's 1533-position model. The record is from RNAcentral.